CUCUCUCUCUCUCUCUCUCUCUCUCUCUCUCUCUCUCUCUCUCUCUCUCUCUCUCUCUCUCUCUCGUAAUCCUUCUCCUUCCUGUAUCUCUCGAUCUCUCAAUCAUGAACAAGGUAGUAGAUCCAAAAUCCAUGCAGAUCCCCCACUAUCGAUUUUGGAUCUGCUCCGAUGGUGAAGUUUCUGCUGGAGCAUCAAUCUUAAUCGAGUUUGGAUCUGCUCCGAUGGUGAAGUUUCUACUGGAGCAUCUGGAGAAAUCGAUUUUCGAUCUGCUCCGACGGUGAAGUUUCGGCUGGAACAUCAGUCUUAAUUGAGUUUGGAUCUGCUCCGAUGGUGAAGUUUCUGCUGGAGGAUCUGGAGAAAUCUGGGUGUGGGAUAUUAGACGGGUCUUGCUGGGCCGUUCAUUGCGAGAAGAAGAUUGCUGGAGUAUACACCCGCCGCGGAUGGGUACUAUACAUUUUACCUUUUCUCUUUGUUUUGACUACUUUGUGUUGAAAUUGGAAUGAUUUUGAUUAUUACAAAUGUGACAAACUUCACUUUGUAGUUGAGGAAUGAACUAAAGUCAUUCCUAGGAUGAGUGUUUACGUCAUUUGGGUUGCUCUCUAGCUCUUUUAAUUAUCUCCUUUUGUGUCUGUAAGGGUGUGUUCUGUGGCCCUCAUCAUGCUUGUAGCGAGGUGUGAGUCAAAUAGAACAUGACAACCACUGAGAUUUGUUCAGAGUUUGUCAUCCUUGAAAUUGAUUGUAGGUUCUGUAGAAAUCUUAUGGUAAGGACCUUCUUCUCAUCUUUCUUUUUCUUCUUUUAAAUCUGUGUAAUCUGUUGUGUUCAUUAAGUGAAGAGCGAAGAUCGGAGGUCUAGAAACAUCUAUUCGAUCUUCAGCAUCACAGCUCCAUGCAAUCAUCGAUCUACCCAUGAAAGGUCUUCGAAUUUGCGGUUUAUCGAUUUCCCAAUCUUCAAACUUUGUUCUUUAGCACCAUUUUGACCGUUCAUUCAUCAAGGAGAGUUUCAAAUUGGAUUGGGCUUUGUAGAAACAAAUUGACUAAGUCUGUGCUUUAGGUUUUUGGCAUCAUUUAAUGUGAAUCUGGAGGUCAUGGUGAGGAAUGAAGAUAUGGUUAUCGUCUUUCUCUGUAAUUUGGGAACAUAUCUCAAGGCGACUGACCUUCAUCAUCAAUUUCCCUCCAACCAUUCUUCAAGGAAGGUUACUAAACAAAAUUGUUAGCGGGCUGGAUACUUAACAUAUUGUUUGCAGAGAAAAAUAGAGGGGUCCAUUCAGAUGCAAUUAUCAUGAUCGAAACAGAAAGAGGAAGACUUUGAGAAAUACAAAGAUAAGUUGCCAGAUUGAUGCAGAGACAAUGAGUUUGGGUACAAGUACAAUGGCCAGCAGUGACUAAGUGAGUUCUUAUCUUUGAUAUUUCUCUCCUUCAUGAUUGAUAUAACUUUUAGUUAUCUUUUGAACUUCUCGGAGAAGAAGAAGAAGAGAGAGAUGGAGGGAAACAAGAGGCAGAGAAGAGAGAGGUUCCGGAUGCAACUAGUGACCAUGAAAUUCGGAGGGAGUCUGUAGGAGAAGAAGGGAAUCCAGAUUCAAGCAGUGAUAGAGCAAUAGAUUGAGUUUCAAUAUGUUAUUGCAUAUUUUUGUUAAGUGUUACUCUUGGUUGUCUUCAUUAGGUACUUGGUUUUGGGCAUAACUUAAUUUGUACUUCUUCUAAUUACCUAUACUGAUAGUGCAACAACUUAAUUACAUUGCAAUGAAAUAGAUGAGUUAAUGAACAA
Molecule: long non-coding RNA, 1765 nt
Organism: Rosa chinensis
Lineage: Eukaryota; Viridiplantae; Streptophyta; Magnoliopsida; Rosales; Rosaceae
Exons: 7
Source: RefSeq, a predicted model, not a curated record